CAAUUUAAAGGGCAAAACUGUUGUGAAGCAGUGACGCAAAGCUAAAGGGACUUUUUAAAGUCAGCCAGUUAUCAGA
Molecule: non-coding RNA, 76 nt
Filed under: Acetobacterium bakii
Lineage: Bacteria; Bacillati; Bacillota; Clostridia; Eubacteriales; Eubacteriaceae
Description: c-di-GMP sequence
Rfam family: c-di-GMP-I riboswitch aptamer
About the family: GEMM was predicted in a large-scale screen for bacterial structured RNA regulatory elements. Genes associated with GEMM are involved in a diverse array of functions, including chemotaxis regulation, signal transduction, secretion and chitin.
Source: Rfam by way of RNAcentral